UUCCGCUUCAAAUUCAUCACUUUUCUUCUAUAUUCCCAGUCAUAUACAUCGCGGAAUGGUUUCGUUAUCAUGACGUCACAUCCGAACAAAGAGGAAGUGUGGGAGACACUUUACAAUAGUGACUGCCGAAGUCUGUUCACGUACCCUACACGUGAUCAGUGUUAUCUACCAACAGCUGAAACUUCAGUGACAACCAAGAGGUUCGAAGUGACGGUUUGCAGAUCUACCCCAUUGUCUGACAACAUCUUACUGAACACGGUUGAACUCAAAUUAAAGGAUAGUGACGAGGUCACUGUUAUGCAACACUCACCACAACACCGGAAGUGCACGUGACGCGGAACUGGAUUUGCUCAUUGAUAGCCUUCUGACAUGGACCAAUGAUCCGGAACGAGUCUGCAGCAUGAUCAUUUCUGACUGUAUGAGCGAGUGUCGACUCCUAGUGCUUCUUGUGAACAUCGCCAGCAGACUGCAGGACGACGGUAGGGUGGACGUCAUCAACAACAUGCGACAAAUGUUCACACGUCUGGGAGGUCCACCAUUCACAGAGGCAGACGUGAGACUUUGUUUGGAGUUUACUCAGCGGCGACUGGAGACACUCGGGGUUUAUGCCAACACGUGAAAUGCACACGAGAACUUUGUUUUUCAAUACCAAACACUGUAUACAGGAACAGUGUCCUUUGGUAUUCAGUAUAAUUCUAAGCAAUGCUGCACAACUUUCGGAGCAUAUGCUCUUAAGGUGACCAAUAUUCUUUUCUCUAUGAUUACAUCUUCAUCGGCAUCACAGCCUAAAAAAAUAAAGUAUGACUUCGGAGGUUCCAUCCGAGUUUCUUAGUAUGGGAAAUAUUUCGUAUUAUUCCUUUGCUUUUAACAUGAUUACGCUUCUCUACAUGAGAAGAGAUUAACUCACGAUAAACUAUUGACGGCUUUAUAUUCUGAUAUGUAGAAUUCUUAAAAUUCAGGGCACAAUUUUGCACAUUUUUCAGGUUAAGAUAUUCUUUGCAGGUCGUAGGCCUUACAUUUAUUUAUUUUUGUUUUCUCAAGUCCGUUUUGUAGCUCAACUGACUGAAAGUCUGAUUUGCAAUAUGUCCGGGUGAAAAAUCUAUUUAUGGCCAUUAAUCAGUCAAUUUCAAUCCAAUUCUAAUUGGUACAGUUGGUAAAUGUUUUGUUGGGCUCAACAAAUAUGUUCCGUUGCAAUUCUACCAUAUUGAAUGAUGAAUCUUUACAUGGCCAUUACUCAGCCAUCUUUGUAUUGAAAUUUGAUAUAUGUGUAGUUUGUAGUGGUGUUCAAUACAUGUUCCAUUUUUAGCGCUGUUUAAUUGAAAACCUGUAUUUGACCUUUUACCUUUGACCCAACUACUUAACUCUCAAAAUGGAAUUCUUUGCACUGUUGAGUAAUUGUUUAUGUCAGAUGUGUACAAAUAUAAUGACAUAUCUGUAGGGCUUGUUGUGCGAUUCAACAUGCAUAUUCUCGGGUUGUUGUUUGCUAUUUUUGCAAACUUUAAAACUAUGAGCCAAACAUGCUUUGAUAACAUUUCAGAGCAAGGUCAAAAGAAGUUUAACAUUUUCAUUUAUAUAGUGAAACACUUUGCAAACGCAUAUUCGAUUGUUUGUAAUGGCUAAGAAAAUCAAUAUAACUUGUUCUGUGCAUUUAUGCAUGAGAUAACGAAAGACAACAACGUCAUCAUUCUUUGUCAUGCAAGUAAAUAUUUACAAAUACAAUCUCUUGACCUUCAAGUAAAAACUGAGAUUGCGUUUUCAUUGUGUGUCAUACAGAUUUCAAAUAAAACGCUAUCAACCAAUCAUUAUCUCGCUAUUUAUCUCAUAAUUUGUCUGGUGAGCAAGUUAUCCAGUUUUCGUGCUUAAUCUCACAAAUGUUUAGUGCAGUUUUAUAUGAGAUUUUGAUAUGUUCAUGCAAUUAUAAUUUCAGGUAUAAGAAAUAAAUGCUUUCUUGUCUUUA
Long non-coding RNA from Haliotis rufescens (red abalone), 1957 nucleotides. RefSeq lists it as uncharacterized. The transcript has 5 exons. The record is from RefSeq and is a predicted model, not a curated record. Lineage: Eukaryota; Metazoa; Mollusca; Gastropoda; Lepetellida; Haliotidae.